UCUGUUCAUUGUGAUUUAUGUUGA
This 24-nucleotide non-coding RNA is filed under the name Arabidopsis thaliana (thale cress). The record is from RNAcentral. Lineage: Eukaryota; Viridiplantae; Streptophyta; Magnoliopsida; Brassicales; Brassicaceae.